Molecule: ribosomal RNA, 125 nt
Filed under: Tessaracoccus oleiagri
Lineage: Bacteria; Bacillati; Actinomycetota; Actinomycetes; Propionibacteriales; Propionibacteriaceae
Description: Tessaracoccus sp. SL014B-20A1 Bacterial large subunit ribosomal RNA
Rfam family: Bacterial large subunit ribosomal RNA
Source: Rfam by way of RNAcentral
CAAGAUGAGGGCUCCCACAGAAUAAUCUGGUAAGGCCCCCGGCAGACCACCGGGUGAUAGGUCGGAUGUGGAAGUGCUGAAAGGCAUGGAGCUGACCGAUACUAAUAGGCCGAGGGCUUGUUUUC